Molecule: ribosomal RNA, 483 nt
Filed under: uncultured bacterium
Lineage: Bacteria
Description: partial 16S ribosomal RNA
Rfam family: Bacterial small subunit ribosomal RNA
Source: RNAcentral
GACGAACGCUGGCGGCGUGCUUAACACAUGCAAGUCGAACGCUGAAGCUCAGCUUUUGUUGGGUGGAUGAGUGGCGAACGGGUGAGUAACACGUGAGUAACCUGCCUCCUUCUUUGGGAUAACGCCCGGAAACGGGUGCUAAUACUGGAUAUUCACUGGUCUUCGCAUGGGGGUUGGUGGAAAGGGUUUUUCUGGUGGGGGAUGGGCUCGCGGCCUAUCAGCUUGUUGGUGGGGUGAUGGCCUACCAAGGCUUUGACGGGUAGCCGGCCUGAGAGGGUGACCGGUCACAUUGGGACUGAGAUACGGCCCAGACUGCUACGGGGGGCAGCAGUGGGGAGUAUUGCACAAUGGGCGAAAGCCUGAUGCAGCGACGCCGCGUGAGGGAUGGAGGCCUUCGGGUUGUGAACCUCUUUCGCUCAUGGUCAAGCCGCAACAAUGGUUGUGGUGAGGGUAGUGGGUAAAGAAGCGCCGGCUAACUACGUG